RNAcentral lists this ribosomal RNA (1463 nucleotides) under Klebsiella sp. HaNA18. RNAcentral's name for it is "bacterial SSU rRNA". It matches the Rfam family "Bacterial small subunit ribosomal RNA". The record is from RNAcentral. Lineage: Bacteria; Pseudomonadati; Pseudomonadota; Gammaproteobacteria; Enterobacterales; Enterobacteriaceae.
CGAUUGACGCUGGCGGCAGGCCUAACACAUGCAAGUCGAGCGGUAGCACAGAGAGCUUGCUCUCGGGUGACGAGCGGCGGACGGGUGAGUAAUGUCUGGGAAACUGCCUGAUGGAGGGGGAUAACUACUGGAAACGGUAGCUAAUACCGCAUAAUGUCGCAAGACCAAAGUGGGGGACCUUCGGGCCUCAUGCCAUCAGAUGUGCCCAGAUGGGAUUAGCUAGUAGGUGGGGUAACGGCUCACCUAGGCGACGAUCCCUAGCUGGUCUGAGAGGAUGACCAGCCACACUGGAACUGAGACACGGUCCAGACUCCUACGGGAGGCAGCAGUGGGGAAUAUUGCACAAUGGGCGCAAGCCUGAUGCAGCCAUGCCGCGUGUGUGAAGAAGGCCUUCGGGUUGUAAAGCACUUUCAGCGGGGAGGAAGGCGGUGAGGUUAAUAACCUUGUCGAUUGACGUUACCCGCAGAAGAAGCACCGGCUAACUCCGUGCCAGCAGCCGCGGUAAUACGGAGGGUGCAAGCGUUAAUCGGAAUUACUGGGCGUAAAGCGCACGCAGGCGGUCUGUCAAGUCGGAUGUGAAAUCCCCGGGCUCAACCUGGGAACUGCAUUCGAAACUGGCAGGCUAGAGUCUUGUAGAGGGGGGAGAAUUCCAGGUGUAGCGGUGAAAUGCGUAGAGAUCUGGAGGAAUACCGGUGGCGAAGGCGGCCCCCUGGACAAAGACUGACGCUCAGGUGCGAAAGCGUGGGGAGCAAACAGGAUUAGAUCCCUGGUAGUCCACGCCGUAAACGAUGUCGAUUUGGAGGUUGUGCCCUUGAGGCGUGGCUUCCGGAGCUAACGCGUUAAAUCGACCGCCUGGGGAGUACGGCCGCAAGGUUAAAACUCAAAUGAAUUGACGGGGGCCCGCACAAGCGGUGGAGCAUGUGGUUUAAUUCGAUGCAACGCGAAGAACCUUACCUGGUCUUGACAUCCACAGAACUUUCCAGAGAUGGAUUGGUGCCUUCGGGAACUGUGAGACAGGUGCUGCAUGGCUGUCGUCAGCUCGUGUUGUGAAAUGUUGGGUUAAGUCCCGCAACGAGCGCAACCCUUAUCCUUUGUUGCCAGCGGUUAGGCCGGGAACUCAAAGGAGACUGCCAGUGAUAAACUGGAGGAAGGUGGGGAUGACGUCAAGUCAUCAUGGCCCUUACGACCAGGGCUACACACGUGCUACAAUGGCAUAUACAAAGAGAAGCGACCUCGCGAGAGCAAGCGGACCUCAUAAAGUAUGUCGUAGUCCGGAUUGGAGUCUGCAACUCGACUCCAUGAAGUCGGAAUCGCUAGUAAUCGUAGAUCAGAAUGCUACGGUGAAUACGUUCCCGGGCCUUGUACACACCGCCCGUCACACCAUGGGAGUGGGUUGCAAAAGAAGUAGGUAGCUUAACCUUCGGGAGGGCGCUUACCACUUUGUGAUUCAUGACUGGGGGAAG